CCCAGCUUUCCGUAAGAGCUGAGUUGCUGUUGCCCAGAGUGCUGUGCUGCCCUGGCAGCCAACAGUAAGCACAGAGCAACUGAUAAACAUGACUGACUUCUUCCUUUUCUGACCUUCCCACCCCGAGCGUGCACGUCAAUAUGAGGACAAAUGUGGUUCAUCUUCCACCCACUGAAGGCCAAGCUCAGUUUCUGACAACAGGCAAGAAGACAGGGCCUUCCUAGGGCACCCCAAUGUGCUUUGUCCUUGCCAAUUGGCCUGAUGGCAGAAAUAGGCUGGGUGAUUAACAUGAAGAGCCAGCAACACCUGACUUCAAAUACGUUGGUGAAAAAUGAAAACCUGCAGAUGCUGAGCCUCCUGGAGGCCAUUCCCAAAUCGACAUGGAUACAGCACUGCCUUGGUGUUUGGGGAGGGAGCUACAUACACACAAGUCCCGCCUCUCGGGGCUCCCACUCUACUGCUGGAGGUCACAUAGGCAAGAUGAUAAGUGCUGAGCUGACGCUGCAGAAUGGCUCAGUGGGACAAGCAAGCUAUAAGACCUGAGUUGGAAUCCCUAGAACUCAGGUGCAGUAGUGUGUGCACCCACAGUCCAAUUGUGCCCACGAGGAAGUGGGAGGUGGGACAGGAGACUCACCACAAGCUCACAGGCCACCUAGCUGGGAGUACACAGCACAGAGGCAAACAACACAGACCCUGCUUCCAGCAAGGUGGGAGGUGAGGACCAAUGAUUGAGCUUGUCCUCUGACCUUCACACAUUCACCAUGCCAUGUGUCUGCAUGCAUUUGCCUGUACACACACACACACACACACACACACACACACACACACACACACACACACACCAAUGCAAACAUGCUGGACAUGAAGGGACCUGCUCCCCAUUUUGGCAGCCAUGACAGUAACCUUGCCUUGGUCACUUAGAGGUCAGAUGCCUGCCUCAUGACAAGGAACCAAUCAGAAGUUAGCUGGUGGCGCUAUGCUUUACGACCCUGGGUAUACUUUACGGACAAACGCACAGCAAUGACCAAUGAUGAUCAGAGCAUAGCAACCACCCUGGGACGGCCUAUGGGCCAUAACAACCAGUUGGCCAAUCAACAGAGGGCAAGUCCUCCAAGCCUGGAGGGCACACCAAUCCUGAGCCUGUGCGUACCCCUAGACACUCCCCUUAACGCUGCCCUACAAGAUUGCCCUACAAGAUCUCUUGGGAGCCCCUAGGAGCUGUCUUUUGUAGCCAACCGCCAUGGUGGGUGGACAAAAGACCAGAGCUAACAUGGGGUUAGCUCGUUAAAUUACAAUAAAGCCUCA
This 1305-nucleotide long non-coding RNA is filed under the name Cricetulus griseus (Chinese hamster). RNAcentral describes it as "lncRNA (ENSCGRG00015030064.1)". Lineage: Eukaryota; Metazoa; Chordata; Mammalia; Rodentia; Cricetidae. The record is from RNAcentral.